RNAcentral lists this ribosomal RNA (253 nucleotides) under uncultured microorganism. RNAcentral's name for it is "partial 16S ribosomal RNA". It matches the Rfam family "Bacterial small subunit ribosomal RNA", at positions 524 to 776 of the family's 1533-position model. The record is from RNAcentral.
UACGUAGGGGGCGAGCGUUGUCCGGAUUUACUGGGGGUAAAGGGCGCGAAGGCGGAUCUGUAAGUCAGAGGUGAAAUCCUGCGGCUUAACCGUAGAACUGCCUUUGAUACUGCAGAUCUUGAGUUCGAAAGAGAGUAGCGGAAUUCCAGGUGUAGUGGUGAAAUACGUAGAUAUCUGGAAGAACACCAGUGGCGAAGGCGGCUACUUGGUUCGCAACUGACGCUGAGGCGCGAAAGCGUGGGGAGCAAACAGG